Molecule: long non-coding RNA, 706 nt
Filed under: Pongo abelii (Sumatran orangutan)
Lineage: Eukaryota; Metazoa; Chordata; Mammalia; Primates; Hominidae
Description: lincRNA
Source: RNAcentral
CCUGAACUCUACAGGCUCCUAAAUAAAGAACCUAAAAUUCUGAAUAAAAGAAGUAGAGUUGGAGCCCAGAGAGAGAGUGAGCUCAGAACGCAAGCCUGACAGCAAGAUAAACACAUUCCUCAAAUGAGACUGCUAGCCAGUAUUUGGGCUAUAAAGCAUGGCCAAUUUGCUUUCUCAGGAUGGAGAAUAUAAUCCCCAGAAGCAUUAUCAAGGGCACUUUUGAGUGCCUGAUUCCAUGUCUUUGAACAAACAAAGUCUUAACUACAGUUCCUCUCUCAAGAGCAAAACUUGAAAUUUGUCGAGAAAUAAUGGACUUUCGCUCUUGUUGCCCAAGCUGGAGUGCAAUGGCGUGAUCUCGGCUCACCACAACUUCUGCCUCCCAGGUUCAAGUGAUUCUCCUGCCUCAGCCUCCCGAGUAGCUGAGAUUACAGGCAUGUGCCACCACGCCCGGCUAAUUUUUUGUAUUUUUAGUAGAGACAGGGUUUCUCCAUGUUGGUCAGCUUGGUCUUGAACUCCUGACCUCAGGUGAUCCACCUGCCUCCGGCUCCCAAAGUGCUGGGAUUACAGGCAUGAGCCACCAUGCCCGGCCCUUAUAGUUCAUAAUUCUAUAGUUUGGCAAUUAGAGCUGCCCAUAGCUGGGUGGUCCCUCUGGUCUGGGGCAGGCUUGGUUGAUCUUGACUGAAGCUUAUUCAUCUGAAUUUAUCAA